GGAAUAUUGCACAAUGGGCGCAAGCCUGAUGCAGCGACGCCGCGUGCGGGAUGACGGCCUUAGGGUUGUAAACCGCUUUCAGCAGGGACGAAAUUGACGGUACCUGCAGAAGAAGCCCCGGCCAACUACGUGCCAGCAGCCGCGGUAAUACGUAGGGGGCAAGCGUUGUCCGGAUUUAUUGGGCGUAAAGAGCUCGUAGGCGGUCUGGUAAGUCGGAUGUGAAAUCUCCACGCUUAACGUGGAGGGGUCAUUCGAAACUGCCAUGGCUAGAGUUUGGUAGAGGAGUGCGGAACUCCCGGUGUAGCGGUGAAAUGCGCAGAUAUCGGGAAGAACACCCGUAUCGAAGGCGGCACUCUGGGCCAAUACUGACGCUGAGGAGCGAAAGCGUGGGGAGCAAACAGGAUUAGAUACCCUGGUAGUCCACGCCGUAAACGUUGGGCACUAGGUGUGGGACUCUAUCGACGGGUUCCGUGCCGUAGCUAACGCAUUAAGUGCCCCGCCUGGGGAGUACGGCCGCAAGGCUAAAACUCAAAGGAAUUGACGG
Molecule: ribosomal RNA, 544 nt
Filed under: uncultured bacterium
Lineage: Bacteria
Description: bacterial SSU rRNA
Rfam family: Bacterial small subunit ribosomal RNA
Source: RNAcentral